AUCGCUUCUCGGCCUUUUGGCUAAUAUUAAGUGUAGUAUCUGUUCUUAUCAGUUUAAUCGGAUACGUCCUCUAUCCAAGGACAAUAUAUUAAAUGGAUUUUUGGAGCAGGGAGAUGGAAUAGGAGCUUGUUCCAUCCACUCUACACAUCGACCUGGUAUUUCAGUACUUCCAGGAACGGUGCACCCCCU
Molecule: small nuclear RNA, 189 nt
Filed under: Saimiri boliviensis boliviensis (Bolivian squirrel monkey)
Lineage: Eukaryota; Metazoa; Chordata; Mammalia; Primates; Cebidae
Description: U2 spliceosomal RNA (ENSSBOG00000008408.1)
Rfam family: U2 spliceosomal RNA
About the family: U2 is a small nuclear RNA (snRNA) component of the spliceosome (involved in pre-mRNA splicing). Complementary binding between U2 snRNA (in an area lying towards the 5' end but 3' to hairpin I) and the branchpoint sequence (BPS) of the intron results the bulging out of an unpaired adenosine, on the BPS, which initiates a nucleophilic attack at the intronic 5' splice site, thus starting the first of two transesterification reactions that mediate splicing.
Source: Rfam by way of RNAcentral